GUAACAGGAGCAUAUUUAUAUACACAAUAUUAAUUACAACAUAGUUCAUUAUACAAACAGAAUACAUUUUUAAAUUAUACAUCUUCAGAAAUAAGUUUGUGUUUAUUACAGUUUUAAAUUAAACAAGCAUCUUUUCUACCUUUUGAAUAAAAAUUGACAGCUUAGACAGCACAUUACUAUUACUAUAUUUAAGCAUGCCAAGUACUUUUUUUUCAUUUGGAUAUUUUAAAUAAUAUGGAGGUAUGAACUUCCCCUUAAAUCCUUAACUUCACAGUUGGUACAUUUACAUAUAUAGUGGUAUACAUCUCCAAGACCAGCUUUACAGAGUGGACAAAUCCUAUCAUUUCGUGGUACAUAUCUCCAUCUUCCUGUUUCGAUGGGAAACUUUGUAUUACAUACCCUUAAUUUACAUAUGUUUACUCUAUGCCCCCGUCUUAAUUUUAACAGAUAUGUUUCCAAGCAAAACUCUUCUUUAAAGUGUAGAUAAAACUCCCCCCUUGAUGAAUUGUUUAUAUCUGAGAACCAUUUUUGAAUAAACUGGUCCUGGAGACGCUGCCUUACAUUAAUUUUAAUAUAAUUAUAAUCAACUUGCUCCGGAAAAUUAUAUAGUUCACAAAAGCCACAAUCAUUGAACACAGAUUUUACAUAGUUAAACCACUUAAAGUUACUACCUUCAUGCUCAUGCAUGUACCAAAGUAACUUAUAAAGUUUACCCGAUAGUUUUUUAUCAUUUGUUGCUAGCUUGUGCCAAAAACAUACCAUUUUUAACUUGAUCUGCAGUUCAAGUGGAAAUCUUCCAAGUUCCCCCAUAUACCAUAAAAUUUGGCGUAGAUGAUCGCACACCCAAACUGCGCUUACAAAACUGUAGAUGUAACUUUUCAGUAUUAUUUUUAUUUUCAAACCCCCAUAUUUCCGAGGAAUAGGUCAAAAUAGGAACCACCAACGCAUCAAAUAAUUUUAGCUGUAGAUCAAUCGGAAGUGAGAUAUUUUGUAUCUUCUUGUACAGAGCAUAAAGUGCUUUUUGAGCUUGGUCUACCAAUUUUUUACGAGCUUGAAAGAAAUUUCCGUUGUAAUUAAACAGCAGACCAAGAUAAACAUAUGAAUCUUUAAUUUCAAUAAUUUCAUUACAUAGUUUAAAAGUAACAUUCUUAUUAUACUUUCUCUUUGAAAAAAUUACAAUCUUUGUUUUUGUAACAUUAAACAGUGAGUUUCCACUCAAAACAAUAUUGCUCAAAAACAUCCAGAGCUUUUUGUAACCCUUCUGCCGACUCCGCAAAAAUAAUUGUGUCAUCAGCGUACAGAAGAAUAAAUAACUUGAUGUACAAAUCAAGAUUCUCUGUAAAUUUUCCAUUAAUAAAUUUUAGACCAUCCACAGCGUUUUCAUCCAGAUAUUCCUCCAAGUCAUUAAGAUAUAAGGCAAAGAGAAAAGGUGACAUUUUUUCUCCCUGUCUUACACCUACCUCACACGGAAAAAAA
RNAcentral lists this long non-coding RNA (1476 nucleotides) under Mytilus galloprovincialis (Mediterranean mussel). Lineage: Eukaryota; Metazoa; Mollusca; Bivalvia; Mytilida; Mytilidae. The record is from RNAcentral.